RNAcentral lists this ribosomal RNA (440 nucleotides) under uncultured bacterium. RNAcentral's name for it is "partial 16S ribosomal RNA". It matches the Rfam family "Bacterial small subunit ribosomal RNA", at positions 338 to 795 of the family's 1533-position model. The record is from RNAcentral.
CCUACGGGAGACAGCAGUAGGGAAUAUUGCUCAAUGGGGGAAACCCUGAAGCAGCAACGUCGCGUGGAGGAUGAAGGUUUUCGGAUUGUAAACUCCUUUUGUUAGAGAAGAUAAUGACGGUAUCUAACGAAUAAGCACCGGCUAACUCCGUGCCAGCAGCCGCGGUAAUACGGAGGGUGCAAGCGUUACUCGGAAUCACUGGGCGUAAAGGGCGCGUAGGCGGGAUAGCAAGUCAGAUGUGAAAGCCUAUGGCUUAACCAUAGAACUGCAUUUGAAACUGUUAGUCUAGAGUAUGGGAGAGGUAGGUGGAAUUCUUGGUGUAGGGGUAAAAUCCGUAGAGAUCAAGAGGAAUACUCAUUGCGAAGGCGACCUGCUAGAACAUAACUGACGCUGAUGCGCGAAAGCGUGGGGAGCAAACAGGAUUAGAUACCCUUGUAGUC